GGCUGCAUUGAUUUUUUUAUAGUUUCUUCUUGCAUCCUUACGUUUUUCUUCUUGCACCCCACAAUGUUAUGCAAAGAUAAAAUUUUUCCUAUUAUUUUUAAAAAUCUUAAAAGGCAUUUAAGACCUACACUAUUAUUUUCUUAUUCCUUUGCUACAGAUUGCACAACCACACUCCACAGACUCCAUUCCUCUCUCAGCGGCAUUGUUCAAUCUCGUGUUUCUGUUGGUGGUUUAGGUGGUGUCUCGAUAACUUGGUGGGAGAAGAGUGAUUUCUCUUGACGGUUCCCUGGAUAAGAAGGUAAGUAUUUCGGAUUUGUAGUUCCAUUUUAUCUUCAGAUUUUUCGUUUUUGCAGUUUAUAUGUAUUAUUCCAGACAAUGCAGUUCGGUAGUUUAACAGAAUAGAGAAUCCGUAUCUUUUUUUCGCAUUUUGGAUUAUGGAAUCUGCAGAAAUUUCAGAUUGGGGAAUUAGUAAAUGUACCGGAUUGAUGCUUCCAGUAACAAUUCCGGAUUGAUUCUUCUGGUAACAUUCUGAAUUGGUGCUUCCGAUAAUUAUGUGUUUUCAAUCAAGGUUUUCUUUUUUUUCUUAAUCAUGCAGAUUCACUACCAAGUUUAAGGUGAUAAGGGUAUUUAAGCAAAUUGACAUUUUCUUGCCCCUGAUUUAAUGAGAUGAAAUAGUUAAUCUGAUCAUCCAUUAUCUCUUUUUUUUUAAAGUUUUUUCUUUACUUUACUGCUUGUGGGACCUGAUUUUUGUUGAAUUUGAUCAGAAUCUAUUCUGAAAUUUGUAUUGGCUCGAGCUAGAAGAGUUUUGGGGUUGGACUAGUAUGCACUCAUUCAUUAGUUGUAACCAAACUUGCAAUAUAUUUUUUCAAUUAAGGUUUUCUUUUUUCUUAAUCAUGCAUAUUUUCUAUCAUUUUACUAAGGAUUAAUUCCAGUGGAGAUAAUAAAUUUAAUUAAGGGAAAAACUUUGUUAAACUAUUUUUUUAUUAGUAACACUUUAAACAUUAGAGUUAGACUAUUAAAUAUUUUGUCAGAAAGGAAUCCUAGUCCACGCCACUUAAACCAAUUUCAUUGGUUUUAUAUGCUUUAGGACGACUUCAAGCAUUUCAAUCAAGAUAAUACAUUUUUUUAAAUAAGUGAUUUAGUUUCUUUAGUUUUGAUUGUUUAAAUGAAAUUCUUAUUUGUUUUUAAAUGAGUGAUGUACUUUAUAAAAUAGUAAAAUUUAGUUUCACACUUUAUUUGUAGUUAAAUUUAUAACUAUAAUGUUAGAUGAUUAACAUUCUAGAUUGGUGGAUCUGUAGUAGGUUUUUGGAUUUUCGAAUACGUAAUGUGCAUUGUUUGUAAUUUGAUUUAACUUGAAUGGUGUAAUUGAACAAAAAUGGUGAAGACUAGGGGAAGAGGUUCACAAGGUGAUCAUCUAUGUCCCACAACCUCUGUUCGAAGAAGAAGAAGAUAUGUUAAUGAAGAAGAAGACAUGUUAAUGAAGAUUAAGAACAUGUUAAACAUGAAGAUGCAGAACAUGUUGAACCUGAAGAAACCGAACCCUAAAUGGAGGUGGAGGAUGAAGGCGCACCUCAAGUAGAAGGUGAAGGUUAUCCCGGAGGUCUAGUGGAUGGGUUACUGUUGACCAUGUGGCCAAGCAAUUUAGUUGACGAUGACAUGUACGGUGAUGAUGAUAAUUUUAGUUGUUGCUAUGUUUUUGUAAUUUCAUGAAGAAACACUUAGUUUGCAUUUUUUUUAAUUUGAUGAAGGAACAAUUUGUUUACAUUUUUUAUGAAUUUGAUGAAGGAAU
This 1789-nucleotide long non-coding RNA is filed under the name Phaseolus vulgaris (common bean). RNAcentral describes it as "long non-coding RNA (PVUL_LNC002292)". The record is from RNAcentral. Lineage: Eukaryota; Viridiplantae; Streptophyta; Magnoliopsida; Fabales; Fabaceae.